AACGAACGCUGGCGGCAGACUUAACACAUGCAAGUCGAGCGCCCCGCAAGGGGAGCGGCAGACGGGUGAGUAACACGUGGGAAUCUACCCAUCCCUACGGAACAACUCCGGGAAACUGGAGCUAAUACCGUAUACGCCCUUCGGGGGAAAGAUUUAUCGGGGGUGGAUGAGCCCGCGUUGGAUUAGCUAGUUGGUGGGGUAAAGGCCUACCAAGGCGACGAUCCAUAGCUGGUCUGAGAGGAUGAUCAGCCACAUUGGGACUGAGACACGGCCCAAACUCCUACGGGAGGCAGCAGUGGGGAAUAUUGGACAAUGGGCGCAAGCCUGAUCCAGCCAUGCCGCGUGAAUGAUGAAGGCCUUAGGGUUGUAAAGUUCUUUCACCGAUGAAGAUAAUGACGGUAGUCGGAGAAGAAGCCCCGGCUAACUUCGUGCCAGCCGCCGCGGUAA
RNAcentral lists this ribosomal RNA (447 nucleotides) under uncultured bacterium. Its description in RNAcentral is "partial 16S ribosomal RNA". It matches the Rfam family "Bacterial small subunit ribosomal RNA", at positions 29 to 523 of the family's 1533-position model. The record is from RNAcentral.